CUAGCUGAGGGCCCCGGUUAUCCUUAGGUACGUCAGAGAAGGUAUCCCUGUCUGCGUCAGGGGUUCCACUCCAUUUGCAGUGUAAAGACGGGAGCAAGCUGAGGAGAGUAAGGGGCGCAAAACAACCCUUUCUUCCCUCCAUAUGCGGCAGGGGUAUUUUGGAAGGAGUUGCCAUGGUUACUCCUCUGGUCUGGGAUUUGUAACGUGAUAGCUGGCUGCCAAACCGCAAUCUCAAAGAGGGAGGAAUUGUGCUUGCGUUUGCGAGUGUUGUAUGAAAGGUCUGUCUGUGUGUCUGUAUACGUUGGGAAAGGAAACCAAGGGAAAUAUACUUUCUUUUAUAUCUUUUCGAGGUAUUAUGCACUUGUUUGUGGGUUUUCAAAGACCUUUCGAUGUUUUAUGACAGAACUGGUCAGGGUCGUACCUUGCUAUUUCAAAGGUUGUAGCAUUUCCCUGUGGAUUUCCUCAGCAACCUAAUGGCAAACAUACACACACACACACACACACUUUUUUUUUUUACCUUCAUCUCCCACCCACUUAGGGGCCUCCACUUAGCCAGCGUGGUGGAGGUGGUGGUGGGGUGUGUUUUACAACCCUGGUCAGGGAAAGCCCUGAGCAGUGGGCUGCCCGGCUAGUGAUUACUAGCUACACGUACCACACACACAUAGGCAUGGACACACACUCACGAAUGACUCACUACAGGGGAAUGUUUCCCUUGUUUUUGAAUGUCAUAAACUGUUCCCAUGGAAAUGGCAGUUACUCAGAGGGCCUGUUGACUUGACCACUGGGGUCUUAUUGAGAUUAGAGUUCUAUGGGAGAGAUGGACCAUUUGAUGCUCUGGUUAGUAUCCGUCAUCAUUGUAGUUUUUGUUGUAAUGUAAAGAUGUGUAUACCUGUAUCUAGGGCCUCAAAAAAUCUCUUUGAUUUAUUUGAAGUUAAGUCCCUAGCCUGCCUCCACACACAUGUGGUAUCCCUACACAUGCACGCACUCAGCAGUUACCCGGUUCCCUGACUUUCAAACCCAGAGAGGUCUGAAAGGAAUGAGGAUGAUGUCAUCAUCACCUGCAGUUGUGAAAGAGGUUAACCAGCACUACAUGGGUCCAACAAGAAAAGAAAUCAUCUAAACCAGAAGGUUAAGCAACCAGAUUAUAAAGUAGCCUACGUUCAGCUGGUGAGAAAACAUAAACACACACACUUAUCCUUCUACUCCUAUCUCUUCUGGUUAGUGUGUAGUGUAGCUAUAGCUCACAGACUCCUACCCAGUACACAGUGCAAGGCAGAGACCUCACCACAAUAACGCUCUUUUUUUUUUUU
Haplochromis burtoni (Burton's mouthbrooder) is the source of this 1310-nucleotide long non-coding RNA. RefSeq lists it as uncharacterized. Lineage: Eukaryota; Metazoa; Chordata; Actinopteri; Cichliformes; Cichlidae. The record is from RefSeq and is a predicted model, not a curated record. The transcript is spliced from 2 exons.